AGAGCUCGAGGAGGGGAAGCCGCCAUGGGGACGAAGGCCGAGCAGGGGGAGCUUGCGGCUGGAGGAGGGAGCUUCGGGGAAGGGAGAAACCGCGGCCAGGAAGCGGGCGUGAGCGGAGGGAGAGAGACAGGGCGUCGAGCAGGACCGAGCGCCAUGGGAGAGAGAAGAUCCGGGCGCUGGAAUCCUAGCAAGGGGAGGCGCCAUGGGAGAGAGCAGAGGGAGCGCCGUGAGGGAGCUACCAUGGAUGAGGGGAGAUGUGAUGGCGCACAGGAAAGGAGAACCGAGGAGCAGAGGCUGGGGGCGCGCCAUGGGGGAAACCUUGAAGGAUCUGCGUGCGUCCAUGGCGAGGAGCUGGAGACGGCGAGCCCGCGCGCACAAAGAAGCAGAGCGCGCAGAGGAGGGAGGAGCGGCUGGGCGCGCGGCAGGGAGGGCCAGGGAGGAACGCCGGCGAGCGCAGGGGCUUCGCGCGCGCAAGGAGGACGCCAUGGAAGGGAGCUUGGGGGAGGGAGCCACGGCGUGCAGUUUGGGCGAGCAGAGCGUGGCGUGCUUGAGGAGGGAGGGAAGCAAGGGCCGAGCGGCGCUGGAGGAACCGAGCAGAGCGAAGGAGAUAAGCG
RNAcentral lists this unclassified non-coding RNA (614 nucleotides) under Zea mays. Its description in RNAcentral is "misc RNA Zm00001eb385650". The record is from RNAcentral. Lineage: Eukaryota; Viridiplantae; Streptophyta; Magnoliopsida; Poales; Poaceae.